This 339-nucleotide ribosomal RNA is filed under the name Triticum aestivum (bread wheat). RNAcentral describes it as "partial small subunit ribosomal RNA". The record is from RNAcentral. Lineage: Eukaryota; Viridiplantae; Streptophyta; Magnoliopsida; Poales; Poaceae.
AUGGGCGGCUUCAGCAUGGAGCAGCCGCAGCAAUGGGCGGCAGCGAGUGGGGACAACAGCCGCGGGCAUGCGUUGUGCGCGGCCGGAGCUAACGCACGCAGGGGCAAGGCGACCAGGGGACGCACGGGAGCACGCACGGGGGCGAGGCCAAGCGCACACGGGCGGGCGCGGAGGCGCGCGAGCACGACUAGGGGCACGGGCGGGCCAACUCCGGCCAUGGCGAUUGGUCCUCGUGGGGCGAUACAUACAGUGACAAAUCGAAGGGGAAAAGCAGGGGAAUUGGGAGAGGAGCUCACUGCGAGCUCAAUGGCGAGGUCGGGGAGGCCGGGGACGCAGUGA